Molecule: long non-coding RNA, 273 nt
Organism: Canis lupus familiaris (dog)
Lineage: Eukaryota; Metazoa; Chordata; Mammalia; Carnivora; Canidae
Exons: 3
Source: RefSeq, a predicted model, not a curated record
CCACCAUUUGCUUUGACGUGGAUGGAACUGAAGGGUAUUGUGCUGAGUGAAAGCAGCCCCCCUCCUUGGAUUUGGUCUUCUUGGUGGUGAUCGUGCCUCUGGUGCUCCUGGCAGGCCUGGUGUGGUGGCUCUGGAAGUGCUGGAAAACACACUUGAGACCUCAGUGCACGGACUUCCUUCUGGAGAGAGAUCUCAGCAGCCCAGGCCCCGGGAUUUACCUAAACCCAGCUCAUUGGUCAUGUCCUGGUAACUCUGCAUGUAAAUUUCUUUCAA